This 468-nucleotide ribosomal RNA is filed under the name uncultured bacterium. RNAcentral's name for it is "partial 16S ribosomal RNA". It matches the Rfam family "Bacterial small subunit ribosomal RNA", at positions 28 to 507 of the family's 1533-position model. The record is from RNAcentral.
GACGAACGCUGGCGGCGUGCUUAACACAUGCAAGUCGAACGGAAAGGCCCUGCUUUUGUGGGGUGCUCGAGUGGCGAACGGGUGAGUAACACGUGAGUAACCUGCCCUUGACUUUGGGAUAACUUCAGGAAACUGGGGCUAAUACCGGAUAGGAGCUCCUGCUGCAUGGUGGGGGUUGGAAAGUUUCGGCGGUUGGGGAUGGACUCGCGGCUUAUCAGCUUGUUGGUGGGGUAGUGGCUUACCAAGGCUUUGACGGGUAGCCGGCCUGAGAGGGUGACCGGGCACCAUGGGACUGAGAUACGGCGCAGACUCCUACGGGAGGCAGCGGGCGGAAGUAUUGCACAAUGGGCGGAAGCCUGAUGCAGCAACGCCGCGUGCGGGAUGACGGUCUUCGGGUUGUAAACAGCUUUCGCCUGUGACGAAGCGUGAGUGACGGUAAUGAGUAAAGAAGCACCGGCUAACUACGUG